Small nuclear RNA from Gracilinanus agilis (Agile Gracile Mouse Opossum), 103 nucleotides. The record is from RefSeq and is a predicted model, not a curated record. NCBI's taxonomy places the organism in Eukaryota, Metazoa, Chordata, Mammalia, Didelphimorphia, Didelphidae.
AUGUUCAUUCUGGCAGCAUAUGUGCUAAAAUUUGAAUGACACAGAGAAGAUUUGCAUGGCUUCUGAGCAAGGAAGACACACAGAAGACAUUUUGGUCCUUUUC